Momordica charantia (bitter melon) is the source of this 819-nucleotide RNA transcript. It is a transcript of the gene named transcription factor TCP4 pseudogene, with no coding region annotated. NCBI's taxonomy places the organism in Eukaryota, Viridiplantae, Streptophyta, Magnoliopsida, Cucurbitales, Cucurbitaceae. The record is from RefSeq and is a predicted model, not a curated record.
CGAUUCUGCAACCGCUGUUCGGAGAAAACCAGUUGUUUUCUCAGAGGGGACCCCUUCAGUCCAGUUACACGCCCUCGAUUCGCGCUUGGAUAGACCCGUCAGUCGCCUUCCCUGAUAAUCAGCAACAUAUAAUUCCACCGGCGAUCUACCAAUCUUCGUUUCCGGGUCUCGGAUUCGCCUCCGGCGGAUUCUCCAGGUUUCUCAUUCCGGCGCGAAUCCCGGGUGAAGAGGAACAUGAUGGUAUUUCCGAAAAGCCAUCCUCUGCUUCCUCCAACUCCCGCCAUUGAAUCAGCUCAACACCUCAAAUCUCUCUCUCUCUAAGCUGACUUCUCCAUCGUCAACUAAUAAAGUCAGAGUUCAAGCUGCCACGCCAUUGCUGCUAAUUCGGAAGCUUGUUUGCAGGGAGCAGAAUUUGGGUCACUUUCUCAAUGGCUUACACAGUGGGAAGAAGACGAAUUCUGAAAGCAUCUUCAGGUCUCUUCACUCCUGAAUUAUCUUAUCUUCUGUUCUAUCAGUUAAUUAGUUAUUUAUGGCUUUUCGUUUCCUGUUUGAAAAGCUUGCCCCUAUAUCUUUCCAUUCCAGAACUUUCUAUGUCAUGUAGUGUAUCUGUAUGGUCCUGUGUCUUAAUUUAUGGUGUAUUUUAAUGGCGGAGACAUUUGCCUUUUCCAUUCCUACACAACAUUCUAGUCUUCUUUCUGGCAUCUUUUCCCCUUGUUUUCAUGGUAAUAAUGGAAACCCAAUGUCCACAAAAAGGGAGAAAUUGUUACCCCCUGCAAUAGCUUGGAUCACUUUUCUCAAAUGUAUCCUUGAUUUGUGCUA